This 717-nucleotide small RNA is filed under the name Pongo abelii (Sumatran orangutan). Its description in RNAcentral is "retained intron". Lineage: Eukaryota; Metazoa; Chordata; Mammalia; Primates; Hominidae. The record is from RNAcentral.
AGGGACCUUCUGGAUAUUUUACGUGAAAGAGGUAAGCUGUCUGUCGGGGACUUGGCUGAACUGCUCUACAGAGUGAGGCGAUUUGAUCUGCUCAAACGUAUCUUGAAGAUGGACAGAAAAGCUGUGGAGACCCACCUGCUCAGGAACCCUCACCUUGUUUCGGACUAUAGAGUGCUGAUGGCAGAGAUUGGUGAGGAUUUGGAUAAAUCUGAUGUGUCCUCAUUAAUUUUCCUCAUGAAGGAUUACAUGGGCCGAGGCAAGAUAAGCAAGGAGAAGAGUUUCUUGGACCUUGUGGUUGAGUUGGAGAAACUAAAUCUGGUUGCCCCAGAUCAACUGGAUUUAUUAGAAAAAUGCCUAAAGAACAUCCACAGAAUAGACCUGAAGACAAAAAUCCAGAAGUACAAGCAGUCUGUUCAAGGAGCAGGAACAAGUUACAGGAAUGUUCUCCAAGCAGCAAUCCAAAAGAGUUUCAAGGAUCCUUCAAAUAACUUCAGGGUGAGUCUGGAGAAAACAUAUGGAAUCCCAGCAUGAAACCAUUUCAGAGUUCUAAUAAAAAUAUGCAUAUUCUCACAGCAUGUACUUUAUUUAAUAUCUGAAAAAAUUGUGAUAGAAAUGUGUAUUUGUUUUAAAAACAUGUAACUUCUUUUAUUUCAAAGCUAAUACAUGUUCAUUGAGAUAUUUGGAGACUAUAGAGAAAGAUAAAAGAAAAUAAAUCAC